Long non-coding RNA from Astyanax mexicanus (Mexican tetra), 1818 nucleotides. RefSeq lists it as uncharacterized. NCBI's taxonomy places the organism in Eukaryota, Metazoa, Chordata, Actinopteri, Characiformes, Acestrorhamphidae. The record is from RefSeq and is a predicted model, not a curated record. The transcript has 3 exons.
CGCCUGUGCAUGCCGGGAACAUGGACUUGCUGAGUGGUUUGAAGGUGGAAAGACACUUUUUCACACUUUUUUCGAAGCGCUUGUGCACCGUUAAGCAAUCAUGAGAGUCACAGCACUGUUGGCAUCACUGAGGGGAGCACCAACAACACUGAGGUGGCUGUUUACCCACCCUUGCAUCCCUCAUCCAGCCCCUGGCCUACCACAGGCAGUGAGUGCAGCAAAUCGCACAAAAACAGAAGCUAUCGCAGAACAGAAUCAACAAUUAUGGGCCAAUCAAAUCUCUGGGGUAAGCAAUCACUCAUAUACACAUACGUUAAUGAUAAAACCCUCUCGGACUGUGAUCCGAUGGAAGACAAGUUUCUAUUGGGUUAAACGAGUCAUAAUGACUCUAAGGUAGCCUAAAGACCAGUCCUCUUUCCAUGGAGUCAGUUUGUCUUGGAUGUAGCUCUGUGCAUGUGAUGAGCCACUAUUUUAAAUGUUAACAUGUGUUUUUCAUAAUAAUUUCGUAGUAACUCAGGUUACUCAGGUGCAUGAUAGUUAUAUUUUGAGCUCACUGUUAUUGUUUGCUAAGAGUCCUUAUGACCUCUUUACUUACUUUUUAUUUACCCUGAUACAGUGAUGAUACAGUGUUAGUGGCCAUUCAAAUAUUCUAUCUAUGCUUCUGCUGGGAGCAUUCUCUGAUAUGAUGCUUCUAACCUUCAGAAAUAUCGUACCUGCUGUUUAAUUUUGGCUUUACCACCAAAAAAUAUACACUGUGGUAGCACAUUUUGACAUAGUUGUAUAAUUUUGACAAAACACUGGUUCGGUUCAUGGACCGACAACGCUUCAGUUGUAUGAUUUGAGCAUACUGUUAUUAUUUGCUUGAGAGCUAAUAAAAAUGUAUUGACGAUUUAAAAAAAAAUCUUCACUGUUAUUUACAUAUGAAUUUACCUUAUAUUUACCCUGACAGUAUAAUGACAAUUAAUGCAAUUAAAUAAAAUAUAUUUUUAUGUCUGUUAUCAUUUAUAUUUACCCUGUUAUAGUCAUUUAGGCCAUCCAAAUAUUCUAUCUAUAUUUCUGUAAGGAGCAUUUUCUGAUCUAAUGCUUUCAACCUGUAGAAAUAUCUUACCUUCUGUGUAAUUUAAGCAGCCUUACCAAUAAAUAUAUAUUGUGAUAGUACAGUUUAAUAAGGUAGCUCAAAUAGGUUGUUCGUGGGCAGUGUACAGAGUGGGGAAUCAUACAGCUUACUGUAAUUAUUUGUGAGAGUUCAAAUGUAAUAAAAUCCUAUUACACUCAGUCACCUUAUAUUUACCCUGAUAUAGUGAUUUAGGACUUCUGCUGGGUGCAUUGUAUGCUUCACUCUAUGAGCAUAUCCUACCUAAUGGUUUAUAAAGGCAACUUUACAAGCAAUAACCAUAAAUUGUGGUAACACGUUUUGACAAGAUUUGUGGGCUGUCUACAGAUUGGAGAACAACGUCACAAGCAAAUAAUGACUGUAAGCUCUAAUUAAGAGUCACAAAAAUUUAGUGACUAUAAGAAUUAAAAAAUAUAUUUUACUUAUGACCUCAGUUACCUUCUCUUUAGCCUGAUAUAGUGAUUUAGGAUACACAAAUGAUCUACCUAUACCUAACCCAUACAUAUACUCAAUCUUUAGAAAGAUUCCUGCUGUUUAUUUUAGACAGCUUCACAAAUAAGUAUACACUGUGGUCAUACGGUUUGACAAUGUAUCACAAUUCUGACAAAACACCAGUUUGUGGGCUGUCUACAGAGUGCAGAACAACAGGGCAGCUUAUUAUUAUUUUUUACAUCAGUUACCUUAUUUUUACAUAUAUAUAUAUA